RNAcentral lists this transfer RNA (71 nucleotides) under Capsicum annuum. It matches the Rfam family "tRNA". Rfam says of the family: Transfer RNA (tRNA) molecules are approximately 80 nucleotides in length. Their secondary structure includes four short double-helical elements and three loops (D, anti-codon, and T loops). Further hydrogen bonds mediate the characteristic L-shaped molecular structure. tRNAs have two regions of fundamental functional importance: the anti-codon, which is responsible for specific mRNA codon recognition, and the 3' end, to which the tRNAs corresponding amino acid is attached (by aminoacyl-tRNA synthetases). tRNAs cope with the degeneracy of the genetic code in two manners: having more than one tRNA (with a specific anti-codon) for a particular amino acid; and 'wobble' base-pairing, i.e. permitting non-standard base-pairing at the 3rd anti-codon position. The record is from Rfam by way of RNAcentral. Lineage: Eukaryota; Viridiplantae; Streptophyta; Magnoliopsida; Solanales; Solanaceae.
UCCUCAGUAUCUCUGUGGUAGAGCGGUCGGCUAUUAAUGAUUGGCCGUAGGUUCAAAUCCUACUUGGGGAG